Molecule: ribosomal RNA, 459 nt
Filed under: Escherichia coli
Lineage: Bacteria; Pseudomonadati; Pseudomonadota; Gammaproteobacteria; Enterobacterales; Enterobacteriaceae
Also listed under: 1 other name
Description: partial 23S ribosomal RNA
Rfam family: Bacterial large subunit ribosomal RNA
Source: RNAcentral
UGGUGGGUAGUUUGACUGGGGCGGUCUCCUCCUAAAGAGUAACGGAGGAGCACGAAGGUUGGCUAAUCCUGGUCGGACAUCAGGAGGUUAGUGCAAUGGCAUAAGCCAGCUUGACUGCGAGCGUGACGGCGCGAGCAGGUGCGAAAGCAGGUCAUAGUGAUCCGGUGGUUCUGAAUGGAAGGGCCAUCGCUCAACGGAUAAAAGGUACUCCGGGGAUAACAGGCUGAUACCGCCCAAGAGUUCAUAUCGACGGCGGUGUUUGGCACCUCGAUGUCGGCUCAUCACAUCCUGGGGCUGAAGUAGGUCCCAAGGGUAUGGCUGUUCGCCAUUUAAAGUGGUACGCGAGCUGGGUUUAGAACGUCGUGAGACAGUUCGGUCCCUAUCUGCCGUGGGCGCUGGAGAACUGAGGGGGGCUGCUCCUAGUACGAGAGGACCGGAGUGGACGCAUCACUGGUGUUC